Molecule: long non-coding RNA, 836 nt
Organism: Heterocephalus glaber (naked mole-rat)
Lineage: Eukaryota; Metazoa; Chordata; Mammalia; Rodentia; Bathyergidae
Source: Ensembl
AAGACACUGAGGAGAGAACCCUGGCAGAACCCACCCAGAAUUCUGACUGUACAGAUUUGUGAGACAAUGAACAGCCACUGUGAGACAAUGGUUUUGAAGCUACCCAGUUUGUGGUAACAUGGUAACCUGUUAGGCAGCAAUGGAAAACUAAUACAGGCAUUUAAACAGAUGAAUGAUAAAAGCAAAGCCCUUUUAUCAUAAUCUUUCUAACCAUACCUUUAACAUUAGAAAAAGCAUAUUUGGGAAUAGUCCAAUGAGUUUAACUUCCCUUUCUUUACUAAUUAUUUGCAGAGGCCUCUUUGCUCCAUGGAAAGCCUGGGCCCUCAGCCAACAGGGGGUCCCUGGGCCUAGAAGUCAGAGCAAGAUGCAGUGAUGACCUAUACUUAAUGUCCAGAAAAGGGCAUUACUCCAGGAAUCAGAGUGAUACCCCCUCAUACCAGCAACCAAAGACUUGCCAACACCAGAAGAGAAAACUGAAGCUCAGAGAAGUUGAGUAGCUGCUAUUUACUGAAUGUUUGUUUUCCUCUAAAAUUCAUAUGUUGAAAUCCUAAUUCCCCAGGGCAUUGGGGAUGGGGACUUUGGGACGUACUAGGUCCAGAGGAUGGAGCCUUCAUGAUGGGAUUAGUAUCCUUCUAAAAAGAGACAAGAGAGAGCUUGCUUCCUCUUUUUCUCCACCAAGUGAGAAUACAGCAAAAGACUCUGGCUCAGACCUCUCUCCAGAUGUCUAUUUAAGGGUUCACCAACAGCUGCCAGGAAGAUAAGAAAAAGUUGCUUAUUUUCUCUCAACUUAAUGCACAAAUUUCUGGAGCCUAAACACUCAUUUCUGGAAAGCUGUG